UUGAUUACUUGACCUGCCAGGGAAAGAUGAUGAUGAUGACAAAGAGUGUGAUAAGUUCAUGCAAGAAAUGAUUUCGAUGAUUGAACGUGAGAAAUCUCAGGAAGAGAGGAGUUUGGAGGAUCUUCGAAGGUUGUUGGUGGAGAUGAUUGAUGGAGAUGAAAGGUUGAAGUUCCCCUUUCAGCCCACUCAAUCCCAUCAACCAGCGGCUAAAAGAAGACGAACCAAGACGACUACCAGUCUAUAGAAACUCGAACAAGAGCCGCGUGGUGAGAUGUUCGUUGCAUGGCGUCCAAGGACGGAUUUUUUCCUCAAAAAGGCACAACCCCACCAAUGGUCUAAUGUAGCAGUGAAUCUUGAUUUUGGGUCCUAGCAUUCAAGAAGUUUGUGUAUUUUUCAUGUUAUGUUCUAUGUACAUUAGUUAAGGAAUGAGACGUUUGUUGUUGUCUUAUGAUGUUUUCUGCUAGAUUGUUGAUUCAGAUGUAAUAAUAUAGAUUGAUUGGUCUUUCAAAGGGUUUUGAUAUGAUCAAAACGUAAAGAAACAA
Long non-coding RNA from Sesamum indicum (sesame), 542 nucleotides. RefSeq lists it as uncharacterized. NCBI's taxonomy places the organism in Eukaryota, Viridiplantae, Streptophyta, Magnoliopsida, Lamiales, Pedaliaceae. The record is from RefSeq and is a predicted model, not a curated record.